GAUGAACGCUGGCGGUAUGCCUAACACAUGCAAGUCGAACGAAGCUUUCGGGCUUAGUGGCGGACGGGUGAGUAACGCGUGAGAAUCUGCCUCGAGGAUGGGGACAACAGUUGGAAACGACUGCUAAUACCCAAUAUGCCGUAAGGUGAAAUUUUUUAGCCUUGAGAGGAGCUCGCGUCCGAUUAGUUAGUUGGUGGUGUAAUGGACUACCAAGGCAGCGAUCGGUAGCUGGUCUGAGAGGAUGAGCAGCCACACUGGGACUGAGACACGGCCCAG
This 276-nucleotide ribosomal RNA is filed under the name uncultured bacterium. RNAcentral's name for it is "partial 16S ribosomal RNA". It matches the Rfam family "Bacterial small subunit ribosomal RNA", at positions 28 to 334 of the family's 1533-position model. The record is from RNAcentral.